Danio rerio (zebrafish) is the source of this 1092-nucleotide non-coding RNA. The record is from RefSeq and is a predicted model, not a curated record. NCBI's taxonomy places the organism in Eukaryota, Metazoa, Chordata, Actinopteri, Cypriniformes, Danionidae.
AUCCCGCCCAUGGCGCUCAGUCUGAGGCAGAGAGUACAGAGGUUUGUUUGCUGUUUAUCACCUUUAAUUCCACUUAUGUUACGGGUGUUGUGCAUCUAUUCAAAUGAAGCUCCUCCUCCUCCAGUUCGGCUAUAAACACUGGAAUUUUCAUAUCAGGCUCCAGUGAAGAGUUUAUUGAAGGACAGCAGGAAUAUGAGUGAUCCAGAACCCUGCAAAAUUAAAAAUGAAGACUCUGAACAACAAAUAGGAUCAAUAAAGCAAUAUCAGCUGGGCUUUCUCUACCUCUUUUCUUUAUUUAAGCGUUUUUGUUUAUUUAUUUAUUUUUUUCAUCAGAGGCAGCCCCACAGUAGUAAGCACUUUCUUUCUUUCCUUUCUGAAAGCAAGUUUGCGAACACACACACACACACACUGUGGUCCUGCAUAGCCACGCCUCCUGUCAGUCACUAAAUGCAUUCGUCUUAAUGCUGCACCACAAUUGUACUUCAUGUUUGUUACCGGCUUUAAUUUCGUAUUAAAGUAAGCUUGAUGUAAAUUCUGAGGAGAACGUUGGGUUGCUAUUGUAAAUACACACACAAGAGAGUCGGGCAGUCUUGUCUUGUUUCAUUUAGGGCUGGAAAAUACUUCGAUAUCAAUAUAUAUCACAAUAGAAUUUUUUUCAGUAAUGGUGGUAUUUUUAAACUCAUUUCCUAUAUUUCGAUAUAAAUUUGCAUAUAUUUUAAUAUUUAUAAGAUCUUCUACGUUUGCAAGGUUUCAGUGGGGUCUUAAAGUCUAAAAUAUAAAAAUGGAAAUUUAAGACCUUAAAAAUGUAACAUGAUUUUGGCUGGCGGAGCUCACAAAAUGUUUUGAGACUUAAGUAAACAGUUCAUGCGGCGUUGCAAAUAUUGAUGUAGCCUUUACUCUUUGAUUUUUUUAUUUUUUUAUUGUUAUAAUUAUUUUUUUUUCUAUGUUUUUUACAAUGUGGAUGUCAUACUAAUUAGAGCAGUCUGUGCGUGUAGCAUCUCGUCAGAUCAUACGGAACUGUCAGUCAAAAUCUGAGGUAAAUCUUAAAUGAAGCUAGGGCUGGAUGAUAUGGCAAAAAUUUAUAUCACGAUA